GACGAACGCUGGCGGCGUGCUUAACACAUGCAAGUCGAACGGACAGGCCCUGCUUUUGUGGGGUGCUCGAGUGGCGAACGGGUGAGUAACACGUGAGUAACCUGUCCUUGACUUUGGGAUAACUUCAGGAAACUGGGGCUAAUAUCGGAUAGGAGCUACUGCUGCACGGUGGGGGUUGGAAAGAUUCGGCGGUUGGGGCUGGACUCGCGGCUUAUCCGCUUGUUGGUGGGGUAGUGGCUUACCAAGGCUUUGACGGGUAGCCGGCCUGAGAGGGUGACCGGCCACAUUGGGCCUGAGAUACGGCCCAGACUCCUACGGGAGGCAGCAGUGGAGAAUAUUGCACAAUGGGCGGAAGCCUGAUGCAGCAACGCCGCGUGCGGGAUGACGGCCUUCGGGUUGUAAACCGCUUUCGCCGGUGACGAAGCGUGAGUGACGGUAAUGGGUAAAGAGGCACCGGCUAACUACGUG
This 468-nucleotide ribosomal RNA is filed under the name uncultured bacterium. RNAcentral describes it as "partial 16S ribosomal RNA". It matches the Rfam family "Bacterial small subunit ribosomal RNA", at positions 28 to 507 of the family's 1533-position model. The record is from RNAcentral.